UUAACGCUGAGGUGUGAUGACGAGGCACUACGGUGCUGAAGUGAUAAAUGCCCUGCUUCCAGGAAAAGCCUCUAAGCAUCAGGUAACACGAAAUCGUACCCCAAACCGACACAGGUGGUCAGGUAGAGAAUACCAAGGCGCUUGAGAGAACUCGGGUGAAGGAACUAGGCAAAAUGGUGCCGUAACUUCGGGAGAAGGCACGCUGAU
This 207-nucleotide ribosomal RNA is filed under the name Enterobacter hormaechei. Its description in RNAcentral is "partial 23S ribosomal RNA". It matches the Rfam family "Bacterial large subunit ribosomal RNA", at positions 1550 to 1755 of the family's 2925-position model. Lineage: Bacteria; Pseudomonadati; Pseudomonadota; Gammaproteobacteria; Enterobacterales; Enterobacteriaceae. RNAcentral also lists the same sequence under 3 other names. The record is from RNAcentral.